Molecule: ribosomal RNA, 584 nt
Filed under: uncultured bacterium
Lineage: Bacteria
Description: partial 16S ribosomal RNA
Rfam family: Bacterial small subunit ribosomal RNA
Source: RNAcentral
UGGGGAAUUUUGGACAAUGGGCGAAAGCCUGAUCCAGCAAUGCCGCGUGUGUGAAGAAGGCCUUCGGGUUGUAAAGCACUUUUGUCCGGAAAGAAAUCCUUGGCUCUAAUACAGUCGGGGGAUGACGGUACCGGAAGAAUAAGCACCGGCUAACUACGUGCCAGCAGCCGCGGUAAUACGUAGGGUGCAAGCGUUAAUCGGAAUUACUGGGCGUAAAGCGUGCGCAGGCGGUUUGCUAAGACCGAUGUGAAAUCCCCGGGCUCAACCUGGGAACUGCAUUGGUGACUGGCAGGCUAGAGUAUGGCAGAGGGGGGUAGAAUUCCACGUGUAGCAGUGAAAUGCGUAGAGGUGUGGAGGAAUACCGAUGGCGAAGGCAGCCCCCUGGGCCAAUACUGACGCUCAUGCACGAAAGCGUGGGGAGCAAGCAGGAUUAGAUACCCUGGUAGUCCACGCCCUAAACGAUGUCAACUAGUUGUUGGGGAUUCAUUCCUUAGUAACGUAGCUAACGCGUGAAGUUGACCGCCUGGGGAGUACGGUCGCAAGAUUAAAACUCAAAUGAAUUGACGGGGUCAUAGCUGUUUCCU